Long non-coding RNA from Varroa destructor (honeybee mite), 375 nucleotides. RefSeq lists it as uncharacterized. The record is from RefSeq and is a predicted model, not a curated record. NCBI's taxonomy places the organism in Eukaryota, Metazoa, Arthropoda, Arachnida, Mesostigmata, Varroidae.
UCGGCACGAUAUUGCGGUCUGCGAAAAGAGCAACGUCGGAGAUUACUCUCGAAUCACAAGAAGCUCACACGAAAGAAGCUAUGCUUGGCAAAUAAGGAUAUAGGUUGGUAAGAUUAACUUUCAAUAUGAGUUCCUGACCUUCAUAAAGUAGCAGCUGAACUACGCGAGAAGCAACCCAGCCUUCCAGCAUUAAAAGUGCACAUGCGUGCCGUAGUACAUGAUAUCGAUAAUAAAUGAGCGGCAUUUUACAUCGAUUCCCGCUAGCUGGGAUGGAUAGCACAGAAGAGCCAGGGGCACAGAUAUUGCGGCCGAAACCGUAACGAGUUUUCGCUUCUGUUGUCAAGUGCGUGCAGUGCUCCACGACAAAUCCUCGUG